CCUACGGGAGGCUGCAGUAGGGAAUCUUCGGCAAUGGGGGGAACCCUGACCGAGCAACGCCGCGUGAGUGAAGAAGGUCUUCGGAUCGUAAAGCCCUGUUGUAAGAGAAGAAAGUUAGCGGGAGUGGAAAAUCCGCUAAGUGACGGUACCUUACCAGAAAGCGACGGCUAAUUACGUGCCAGCAGCCGCGGUAAUACGUAGGUCCCGAGCGUUGUCCGGAUUUAUUGGGGGAAAAGCGAGCGCAGGCGGUUUUUAAAGUCAGAAUUAAAAGGGUGUGGCUCAACCAGAGUACGCCUUUGAAACUGGGAGACUUGAGUGCAGAAGGGGGGAGUGGAAUUCCAGGUGUAGCGGUGAAAUGCGUAGAUAUAUGGAGGAACACCGGUGGCGAAAGCGGCUCUCUGGUCUGUAACUGACGCUGAGGCUCGAAAGCGUGGGGAGCAAACAGGAUUAGAUACCCUAGUAGUC
Molecule: ribosomal RNA, 465 nt
Filed under: uncultured bacterium
Lineage: Bacteria
Description: partial 16S ribosomal RNA
Rfam family: Bacterial small subunit ribosomal RNA
Source: RNAcentral